GACGAACGCUGGCGGCGUGCCUAAUACAUGCAAGUAGAACGCUGAAGGAGGAGCUUGCUCUUCUGGAUGAGUUGCGAACGGGUGAGUAACGCGUAGGUAACCUGCCUGGUAGCGGGGGAUAACUAUUGGAAACGAUAGCUAAUACCGCAUAACAGUAGAUGUUGCAUGACAUUUGCUUAAAAGGUGCAAUUGCACCACUACCAGAUGGACCUGCGUUGUAUUAGCUAGUUGGUGGGGUAACGGCUCACCAAGGCGACGAUACAUAGCCGACCUGAGAGGGUGAUCGGCCACACUGGGACUGAGACACGGCCCAGACUCCUACGGGAGGCAGCAGGAGGGAAUCUUCGGCAAUGGACGGAAGUCUGACCGAGCAACGCCGCGGGAGUGAAGAAGGUUUUCGGAUCGUAAAGCUCUGUUGUAAGAGAAGAACGAGUGUGAGAGUGGAAAGUUCACACUGUGACGGUAUCUUACCAGAAAGGGACGGCUAACUACGUG
Molecule: ribosomal RNA, 495 nt
Filed under: uncultured bacterium
Lineage: Bacteria
Description: partial 16S ribosomal RNA
Rfam family: Bacterial small subunit ribosomal RNA
Source: RNAcentral